Molecule: ribosomal RNA, 253 nt
Filed under: uncultured bacterium
Lineage: Bacteria
Description: partial 16S ribosomal RNA
Rfam family: Bacterial small subunit ribosomal RNA
Source: RNAcentral
UACGGAGGGUGCAAGCGUUGUCCGGAAUCACUGGGCGUAAAGGGCGCGUAGGCGGCUUGGUAAGUCAUCUGUGAAAUCCCGGUGCUCAACGCCGGGGCUGCAGGUGAGACUGCCUGGCUGGAGCUUGGUAGGGGCGAGUGGAAUUCCCGGUGUAGCGGUGGAAUGCGUAGAGAUCGGGAAGAACACCAGUGGCGAAGGCGGCUCGCUGGGCCAAUGCUGACGCUGAUGCGCGAAAGCGUGGGGAGCAAACAGG